GAUGAAGAACGUAGCGAAAUGCGAUAACUAAUGUGAAUUGCAGAAUCCCGUGAACCAUCGAGUCUUUGAACGCAAGUUGCGCCCGAAGCCACUAGGCCGAGGGCACGCCUGCCUGGGCGUCACACGCCGUUGCCCCCCCAUCUACUCCUUCGGGAUUGCGGGGGGGCGGAUGAUGGCCUCCCGUGCGCCUAGCCGCGCGGUUGGCAUAAAUACCAAGUCCUCGGCGACGCACGCCACGACAAUCGGUGGUUGCGAAACCUCGGUUGCCCGUCGUGUGCGUUCGUCGCGCAUCGAGGGCUCGAAAAAAUGCUCGGCUCCGGCUGGGCUUUCAACGCGACCCCAGGUCAGGCGGGGUUACCCGCUGAAUUUAAGCAUAUCAAUAAGCGGAGGA
RNAcentral lists this unclassified non-coding RNA (391 nucleotides) under soil metagenome. RNAcentral's name for it is "partial contains 5.8S ribosomal RNA, internal transcribed spacer 2, and large subunit ribosomal RNA". The stretch from base 1 to 122 matches the Rfam family "5.8S ribosomal RNA", at positions 35 to 154 of the family's 154-position model. The record is from RNAcentral.